GACGAACGCUGGCGGCGUGCUUAACACAUGCAAGUCGAGCGGUAAGGCCCUUUCGGGGGUACGACGAGCGGCGAACGGGUGAGUAACACGUGGGUGACCUGCCCUCAGCUCUGGGAUAAGCCUGGGAAACUGGGUCUAAUACCGGAUAUGACUCCAUGACGCAUGUUGUGGGGUGGAAAGCCUUGUGCGGCUGAGGAUGGGCCCGCGGCCUAUCAGCUUGUUGGUGGGGGUGA
This 233-nucleotide ribosomal RNA is filed under the name uncultured bacterium. RNAcentral's name for it is "partial 16S ribosomal RNA". It matches the Rfam family "Bacterial small subunit ribosomal RNA", at positions 28 to 261 of the family's 1533-position model. The record is from RNAcentral.